Molecule: unclassified non-coding RNA, 220 nt
Filed under: plant metagenome
Description: partial contains small subunit ribosomal RNA, internal transcribed spacer 1, and 5.8S ribosomal RNA
Source: RNAcentral
UCUCCGUAGGUGAACCUGCGGAGGGAUCAUUACAGAGUUCGUGCCCUCGCGGGUCGAUCUCCCACCCUGUGUUAUUGCUACCUUUGUUGCUUUGGCGGGCCCGCCUCGGCUCCCGGCCCCGGCUGGUACGCGCCCGCCAGAGGACCCAAACCCUGAAAGUCAGUGUCGUAUGAGUACUAUAAAAUAGUUAAAACUUUCAACAACGGAUCUCUUGGUUCUG